GAUGAACGCUGGCGGCGUGCCUAAUACAUGCAAGUCGAGCGAACAGACGAGGAGCUUGCUCCUUUGACGUUAGCGGCGGACGGGUGAGUAACACGUGGGUAACCUACCUAUAAGACUGGGAUAACUUCGGGAAACCGGAGCUAAUACCGGAUAAUAUUUCGAACCGCAUGGUUCGAUAGUGAAAGAUGGCUUUGCUAUCACUUAUAGAUGGACCUGCGCCGUAUUAGCUAGUUGGUAAGGUGACGGCUUACCAAGGCAACGAUACGUAGCCGACCUGAGAGGGUGAUCGGCCACACUGGAACUGAGACACGGUCCAGACUCCUACGGGAGGCAGCAGUAGGGAAUCUUCCGCAAUGGGCGAAAGCCUGACGGAGCAACGCCGCGUGAGUGAUGAAGGUCUUCGGAUCGUAAAACUCUGUUAUUAGGGAAGAACAAACGUGUAAGUAACUGUGCACGUCUUGACGGUACCUAAUCAGAAAGCCACGGCUAACUACGUG
RNAcentral lists this ribosomal RNA (497 nucleotides) under uncultured bacterium. Its description in RNAcentral is "partial 16S ribosomal RNA". It matches the Rfam family "Bacterial small subunit ribosomal RNA", at positions 28 to 507 of the family's 1533-position model. The record is from RNAcentral.